RNAcentral lists this ribosomal RNA (472 nucleotides) under uncultured bacterium. RNAcentral describes it as "partial 16S ribosomal RNA". It matches the Rfam family "Bacterial small subunit ribosomal RNA", at positions 29 to 507 of the family's 1533-position model. The record is from RNAcentral.
AGUGAACGCUGGCGGUAGGCCUAACACAUGCAAGUCGAACGGCAGCACAGUAAGAUCUUGCUCUUACGGGUGGCGAGUGGCGGACGGGUGAGGAAUACAUCGGACUCUACUUUUUCGUGGAGGAUAACGUAGGUAAACUUACGCUAAUACCGCAUACGACCUACGGGUGAAAGCAGGGGAUCUUCGGACCUUGCGCGGUUGGAUGAGCCGAUGUCGGAUUAGCUAGUUGGCGGGGUAAAGGCCCACCAAGGCGACGAUCGGUAGCCGGUCGUGGAGGGUGUACAGCCACAUUGGGACUGAGAUACGGCCCAGACUCCUACGUGGGGCAGCAGUGGGGAAUAUGGCACAAUGGGCGCAAGCCUGAUGCAGCGACGCCGCGUGGGGGAUGACGGCCUUCGGGUUGUAAACUCCUUUCGCUAGGGACGAAGCGCAAGUGACGGUACCUGGAGAAGAAGCACCGGCUAACUACGUG